RNAcentral lists this non-coding RNA (27 nucleotides) under Homo sapiens (human). Lineage: Eukaryota; Metazoa; Chordata; Mammalia; Primates; Hominidae. The record is from RNAcentral.
UCUGAUGGUAGUUUGUGUUUCUGUGGG